UUGAAAACUGUGGAGCUGGAGCUCUAAAUAAUUGUAAAUAUGAGCAAACCAGAGAUGUGGCUGCAGGGCAAGUAUUGUCUCUGUGUGCUGUGGUUGUGACCAAACUGGGAAGUUGAAGAGAAAACACAACUUUGCAACAGAGGAUAAUUCUACAAAGCUCAUGAGCAAAUUCCACCCGAGCCUUUCAGGAUGCUGUGAACAUCACUGACAGCCGUUGUGAAAAAGUUGGGUCUGGGUUUGUUUCACAAGUGUGAAAUAAAUUUCAGAGCUCUCAUAUUCAAAAGAGCCUGGUAAAUUGCCCUAAACGAGCACCAAGUGUCAUCUUGUGUGGAUGACAGAGGAACCUGGAAUGCAGCUGAGAAGCCUUUGGACAAGCAGGAAGAAGUGGGCUUGGGCCAUGGGGAGUGGAGCUGACCUGGCAGAGGGGCCAAAUGGGCUGAUUUAACAGAUGUGAGCAUACACUGGAUGUGGAGGAGCUGGGGAUUGAGAUGAGGUGCAGUAGUUUGUCAGGCCCUGCUCCAGGAUGACAAUGAUGGGACCUCCAGGCUGGGGGAUUGAGAGCUGAUCUGGCUCCACUUCCCUGGUUAGCACAAGGCUGGGAUAAGCUGAUAGAGGGUGGAAGAAAAGCAGGAAAAAAAGGAAUUUCUCAUCUUAACACCUAAUGUGCUGCUGGCUUAAGACAGGAAGACAAGCGACCUCAGCUGAUCUAAGACAGAAGCACAGAGCACAUCGACAGCCAAGCCAUGAAACUCCUCCGCAGGAAUGAACCAUUAAUGGAAUUAACCAUCGUGCCCAAGGUGGACAGCUUGGGGUGAAAAGUUAAUCCUGAUAUAAUUAGAGACAGCCUUGUAACAGCAAAAUCGUGGAGUCACAGGUCACAGGGUGAGAUGCCACCAAGACCUUGCAGUGUGUCAAGUCUUGCAGGAAUGGGACAGGAGUGUAACAGAAAUCAUCUGCCUCAUGCUUCAAAGGAUGGAGCAAUAUCCUGAGAGAGCUGGGGAAGGCUUCUCUGUCCACCCAAUGAAGUGUUUGGCCUUGAGGAACUCAGGCAAGAAUAUCAAGUCCAACCAAGGACACAAAACCCAAACAAAUUAAAAUGCAUCUGGACUGAUGUGCAGUUCCCUAUAGGUACUGGAAAACCUUGUCUCUGUGAUGCCAUCAUGGAAUGAGCAGAGGACAGAAAUGACAUGGGAGAAAUCUGGAGACACCUUUCAAGGGAUGAAGAAUCAUCCAACCCCUCUGGUUUGAAGAUGCUGACAGGCCACUGCUCUGAGCUGUGUGGAGGGAGCAGAACGAAUGGAGGGAAGCACGAGCCCUGGUGGGAAGGAUGAGGUCUUGCUCCAAGAUAAAGGUUCAGGCAAGAGCUGGAGCCUCUGUGAAUUUGGCAGAGGGGAGUGUGAGCAGUGCUCACUCCUGAGCUCACAGCUCAGCACCCAGGCUCAGACUGAGCAUCUGGCAUUCAGCUCACACCAUGCUGUGAGCGGCAGCACCUGAAGAGCUUGUGAAUGCCCUCUCCUACUGGUGGUGUAAUGGGAAGGCCACAUCUUUAACCAGGGGACAAGGCAGGGAGGGGGGAAACACUGAAAUCUUCCCAUCUCAAGUGGCCAGAGUGUAUCUAUGGGCAUCCCACCUUUCUCUGUGCUCAGGGAAGAGAUCUUUCACCAUAAUCUGCAGCGGAAAAAAUGUUCUGUGUCUUUUUUUUGGCCCAUGUUGGCUGAAACCGCCCAUAAACCACUAAUUGCCACUGCUAAAAGGGAGCUGGCAGACAUGAAAUUUGCCCAGAUUACCCAGAUUACUAUUUUAUGGGUAGAAAUAUGAUUUCAAACUGACUGUGGGGCAGGUUGCAAACUGGUGUCAGAGAGAUGAGAAACCAUAAUGUAGCAGAGCCCAAAGACAGACAUUUUUUGUGGCAGUUUACUUUAAAAAUAAAGCAAAUGGACUGUUGUGUCUCAGACAAAGUCUGAGAUUCGUCGAGCAACAACCUUGAGUGAGAGCACAAAGAUUUAUACAGGUUUUUCUUAAUAGUUUGUCAGGCAUGGCAAAGUUACAGGCUUCACAUUUGGGACUUAAGAAAGAAGGACCCCUCAGAGUGACAGACUCAAUUAUGCUGAUGACAGAAGACACUGUUUUUCCUGCCCCCUUGCUCUUGCUUUUGUGAGAUAUGUGAGAUAGCCUUACCCAUUACUUGGGGGAUUCCUCCACAUCAGAGUUAGAUGGUCCUGACAGAUGAUGGGCAAGAUUCUGAGCAAUUUGCUGAAAAGUCCAAGUCUGCAUCCAGUCCCCAAGAGACUCUAUUCAACAAGUAGGUAGGAAAUGGCUUUACAUUAAUGAAUACUUAAUGAAAAGGAGAGCAGAAUCAGAUCUGAUUGGUGCUUGUGGGGUAUCGCCCACAGAACAGGUUUAGCCACCUGCAAAUACUCUUUCUGCAUGAAAUGAAGCAAGGAGACCCUUUGAGACGUGUGUCAAGCUCUGUAGCCCAAGGAGCCAAGAGUUUGCAGAAGUUCACAGACACGCAGCUAAACACAAAACAGUGCUGUGAUUGCGGUCCCUGGGUUACCACCACUUCCUGAACACCACAGAAUUCACACACACAAUGAAAAUCAGAAGCCAGAAACAGCAGUUAUUUCACAUAAAAUUGCUCCACAAUCCCAUGAGUGCAGGGUUUGUGUAACCAGACGUGCCUAGAGAAAGAAUAGGCAGCACCUUCUGCAGCAGCCGGGAGGAGUGGAGGCAGCAGGCCCUGGGCUUUUCUUCUAUCCUGGAAGAGCUUUGGCAGCACAUGGGAAUGGUAAGGCCACCAUGUUCUGGGACAUAACAUCACCAGGAAAAACAGACUCCCAUUCCCAAUGAGAACUCCUCUGAUGGUGCCACAGUGACUACAAGUUACAGGGCAGAGCUCCUCAGAAGUUAUUCAAACACUGCUAAUUGUUUGGCUGUAAGGUUUUGAGGUCACAAGCUAUAGAAAUGAUACUUCCAUGUUUUGGGUGGGGAAGGGAGGUAGGACCUCAGGAACUGUGUCUUUAAGCAGCUUAGUUCUGGAGACAGGAAGUCUGGCGAUGGGCUGCAGCAGUGCAGAUUUUAUUAUGCAAUUUCUCUUGGAACUAGUCCCUGAAUAAAGGAGUUAUCCAUUAAGCACCUGCUUCACCCUCCCUCCUGAACACCACAAACGAAGGUCUCAGGAAUCCUUUCAAGAGCUUACCCAUCAGUGGGGGAGCAGGGAGCCAUGCACUGGGGUCCAGACUGGUAAUAUUGAUGUAUUUGGUUUAUAGUGUCUGUCAAAGGGUUUCUCUUCAUUAAAUCCUCCUACUCUGUUUGAGCUUGUUCCAUGUUUGGCAUUACUAGUGUACUAGUGGCUGAGGCCAUCUAAGUCUUGCAAUACUGAUCCAAAGGGCUGUGGUACCCAGGCUACUCUUAGGCCCUCAGGAUAUUUAAUCAUAGCCCUCUUCCUAAGGGGUAGCCAAGGUCUUCCUCUCCCUCCUAUCAUUAACCUAUCAUUGCUGUUCUGAUCCCAUGGUAGGGGCAGCUGGGGACAUUGCAGCACGGAGAAGCUGCAGGACACAGUGGAAGUAGGAUCCUCCUCCUCUGCCCCUACUGCCUGGGGUAAAGGAUUCCCUCCCUCCAAAGCACCUCCUUUCCCUCCCACUCUGCUCCUGGGACUUGCAGCCCCACUCUGACUUCACCAACGUGGCAAGCCUGGCACUUGCUGUAAAGACAGAGGAGCUCUCCCAGCUAAUCAUGGCCUCCAUACAUCCUCUGCCUUUCUCCCAACAGUGGGUACAUGGCAUUUCCCUCAGAGGCACUGACACAGCAGCUCCUGUCACAGCACUGGGGCUGUCAGGGCCCCUGCCUCAGCGGCUGUGUGCUCAGGCCUGCAGUACUGGUGUAACACGGGUGUGUCACCCAGCACCAGGCAGCAUGAACAUCCUCUGGAGAGGGGCAGUAGCUGUGGGACUGCUCAGGAUCUGUCCCCAGUGGUAAACUCCAUCCUGGCUUUAUCCCAGAGCUGCAGAGCUCAUGCAGCAGCAGGGAAAGGGGUCAUGAGGGGAGCAAAGUGCUAUGGAGAGCUCCUGGUGUCAGCCACUCCUGCGUAUCCAUAAGUGAUGUCAUUGUAGAAGUACAGACUCGUUUGGGUUUGAGGGAUUUUAAACACCAGCUCAUUCCACCUUCCUGCCAUGGGCAGGGACACCUUCCACUAGCUCAGGUUGCCCAGGCCGUAAUGACCAAGGUAAGCACAGUGAUCCAGGAUGCAAUUCAAAAUACAUCAACCAAACUUGUUAAAAAGUUCAAGCAGGAGCCAGAAAAAGACUGCUGUCCUCAGCUGUGCCUUAGAGUCUGACCUGACUCCCACUCCUCACCUCCAACAGCAAAACAUUUUCCUUUAACCUAAACUGGGAUAAAUUCUUAAUACCACAGUAAAAUGCUGCUGGGUAAGAGCUGCUGCUUUUACAUCUAGAGGCACUGUGAGACACUGAACCUGUCCCACACUGAAACAGACGCAAACUCACUGCUUUGGAAGGAAAUUAAAGCAGGCACAACCAGAGAGCCCUUACUUGUGUAACUAAUGAGUAACACAGUGAUAGAAGCAGAGGUCUGACAGACCUCCACGUGAUUACAGCCAGACCAAGGACAGGCACCAUGUAAAUAAAUACAGAAUUUGCAAGUAAAUGUAAUGAAAUUCAUGUAAAUGUAGAAGUAAAUGUAAUGAAUUCGAGUUUUGCAGUAAACAAAAGGCAGACUUAUUCUUUGCAAAGGAAUCUGUCAUUAUAGAUCUCCUUUAAACCAAUAAAUUAUUGCUGUUGAAUCCA
Molecule: long non-coding RNA, 4805 nt
Organism: Pyrgilauda ruficollis (rufous-necked snowfinch)
Lineage: Eukaryota; Metazoa; Chordata; Aves; Passeriformes; Passeridae
Exons: 3
Source: RefSeq, a predicted model, not a curated record